CAGCAGCCGCGGUAAUUCGGAGGGGGCUAGCGUUGUUCGGAAUUACUGGGCGUAAAGCGCACGUAGGCGGCUUUGUAAGUUAGAGGUGAAAGCCUGGAGCUCAACUCCAGAAUUGCCUUUAAGACUGCAUCGCUUGAAUCGCGGAGAGGUGAGUGGAAUUCCGAGUGUAGAGGUGAAAUUCGUAGAUAUUCGGAAGAACACCAGUGGCGAAGGCGGCUCACUGGACGCGUAUUGACGCUGAGGUGCGAAAGCGUGGGGAGCAAACAGGAUUAGAUACCCGCGUAGUCCCUGUCUCUUAUAC
This 301-nucleotide ribosomal RNA is filed under the name uncultured bacterium. Its description in RNAcentral is "partial 16S ribosomal RNA". It matches the Rfam family "Bacterial small subunit ribosomal RNA", at positions 509 to 807 of the family's 1533-position model. The record is from RNAcentral.